Daphnia pulicaria is the source of this 1168-nucleotide long non-coding RNA. RefSeq lists it as uncharacterized. The transcript is spliced from 5 exons. The record is from RefSeq and is a predicted model, not a curated record. NCBI's taxonomy places the organism in Eukaryota, Metazoa, Arthropoda, Branchiopoda, Diplostraca, Daphniidae.
UAAAUCUGUUGCAUAUUCCUGUUCGAGAUACAGUACCGUUCAGACGUGAAAUUAUAUGAUGGCCUCCUCCACCGGGAUCUUCGCUUAUUGGCUAUUCAUUGCCAUGACUCUGUUCAUCCUUCAAGGUGUCGUGGGGAGUCCGAUCGAUUUUUCGGAAGAUGAUUUACGUGCUGAACGAGAAGUAGGCGAUCCAACCGAUUACGAACGAGAGGAGCGUUUCUGGCGCCCCUUCAAAAAUUGGAUCUUGUUUGGCUAAUCGUUUAAAUGUUAUCCACCUGGAAUGCCAAGACUUUUGUUGGACAUUGCUAUUCGUGAUUUUGACGAUUCAAUCUGUUUGCUAAACUCUACUCAAUUUUUCCAAAUCUGGUAGGAUAUUGAACUCCUAUGCCCAUACAAUCAAUAAUACAUACACGCAAUUAUCAUUCAAAUAUACUACUGCUUCAACCCGCCUCCGAAUUAUCCCUUUUUUAACUUAGGCAGGUUAAAUAGCACAUUACAGCUUAGAAGUUAAUGUUAAAAGUUAAAUUUUCCAUCCAUAAGUGAGACCUUUAGCUUAAAUGUCACGAUCGGCAUCUAGUCAGCAUUUUUCAUUUUGGCUUCCUUCAAUGAUAAGAGAUAAUUUUAUUUCGAUAAGUAAAAGAUAUACAAACCGAAGCAAAAUUUAGCGGCCACUAUUUCCUCUUUAAACGGAGAAAUUCCAAAAUUCCAAAAUGGCACAAAUUUUCUUCGUAUUCUUGUUCAAAAUCCAGUACCGUUCAGACGUGAAAUUAUGAUGGCCUCCUCCAUCACCGGGAUCUUCGCUUAUUGGCUAUUCAUUGCAAUGACUCUGUUCAUCUUUCAAGGUGUCGUUGGGAGUCCGUUUGAUUUAACUGAAGGCGAAUUACGUGCUGAACGAGAAAUAGGCGAUCCAACCGAUUACCAACGAGAGGAGCGUUGGUGGCGCCACAUCAAAAAUUUCGCUGUAGGAUUUAUCGGCUAAUUGUUUCACGAAAAUGUUAUCCACCCGAUUUUCUCAAACGUUUGCACAUUGUUUUUCGAGAUUUGGACGAACCUAACAACUGUUUCCUAAACUUUCCCCAAUUUUCAAAAUCCGGAAGGAUAUUAAACUCGUAUAUGUAAGCUGUAAGCAUACAAUUACCAUUCCAAUAGACUACUGCUUCAACCCGCA